UGGGGAAUCUUGCACAAUGCGCGAAAGCGUGAUGCAGCAACGCCGCGUGCGGGAAGACGGCCUUCGGGUUGUAAACCGCUUUCAGUUGGGACGAAGCCUUUGCGGUUAAUAGCCGUGGAAGGUGACGGUACCUUCAGAAGAAGCCCCGGCUAACUACGUGCCAGCAGCCGCGGUAAUACGUAGGGGGCAAGCGUUGUCCGGAAUCAUUGGGCGUAAAGCGCGUGUAGGCGGCUGAGUAAGUCUGCUCUGAAAGCCCGGGGCUCAACCCCGGGAGGCGGGUGGAUACUGCUCAGCUCGAGUCCGGAAGAGGAGUGUGGAAUUCCUGGUGUAGCGGUGAAAUGCGCAGAUAUCAGGAGGAACACCAAUGGCGAAGGCAGCACUCUGGGACGGUACUGACGCUGAGACGCGAAAGCGUGGGGAGCAAACA
Molecule: ribosomal RNA, 427 nt
Filed under: uncultured Conexibacter sp.
Lineage: Bacteria; Bacillati; Actinomycetota; Thermoleophilia; Solirubrobacterales; Conexibacteraceae
Also listed under: 1 other name
Description: bacterial SSU rRNA
Rfam family: Bacterial small subunit ribosomal RNA
Source: RNAcentral